Molecule: ribosomal RNA, 492 nt
Filed under: uncultured bacterium
Lineage: Bacteria
Description: partial 16S ribosomal RNA
Rfam family: Bacterial small subunit ribosomal RNA
Source: RNAcentral
AGUGAACGCUGGCGGUAGGCCUAACACAUGCAAGUCGAACGGCAGCUCAGUAAGAGCUUGCUCUUACGGGUGGCGAGUGGCGGACGGGUGAGGAAUACAUCGGAAUCUACUUUUUCGUGGGGGAUAACGUAGGGAAACUUACGCUAAUACCGCAUACGACCUACGGGUGAAAGAAGGGGAUCUUCGGACCUUGCGCGAUUGAAUGAGCCGAUGUCGGAUUAGCUAGUUGGCGGGGUAAAGGCCCACCAAGGCGACGAUCCGUAGCUGGUCUGAGAGGAUGAUCAGCCACACUGGAACUGAGACACGGUCCAGACUCCUACGGUAGGCAGCAGUGGGGAAUAUUGGACAAUGGGCGCAAGCCUGAUCCAGCCAUACCGCGUGAGUGAAGAAGGCCUUCGGGUUGUAAAGCCCUUUUGUUGGGAAAGAAAAGCAGCAGGUUAAUACCCCGCUGUUCUGACGGUACCCAAAGAAUAAGCACCGGCUAACUUCGUG